RNAcentral lists this ribosomal RNA (377 nucleotides) under uncultured bacterium. Its description in RNAcentral is "bacterial SSU rRNA". It matches the Rfam family "Bacterial small subunit ribosomal RNA", at positions 521 to 896 of the family's 1533-position model. The record is from RNAcentral.
UAAUACGUAGGGGGCUAGCGUUGUCCGGAAUCAUUGGGCGUAAAGCGCGUGUAGGCGGCUUGGUAAGUCCGUUCUGAAAGCCCGGGGCUCAACCCCGGGAGGCGGAUGGAUACUGUCAAGCUCGAGUCCGGAAGAGGCAAGUGGAAUUCCCGGUGUAGCGGUGAAAUGCGCAGAUAUCGGGAGGAACACCAAUGGCGAAGGCAGCUUGCUGGGACGGUACUGACGCUGAGACGCGAAAGCGUGGGGAGCAAACAGGAUUAGAUACCCUGGUAGUCCACGCCGUAAACGAUGGACACUAGGUGUGGGGGGUGUCGACUCCCUCCGUGCCGAAGCUAACGCAUUAAGUGUCCCGCCUGGGGAGUACGGCCGCAAGGCUA